UUUUUUUCAUCCCUGCGUUGACUUAUGAUUAAUCGAACAAAAAUGGAAAUUCUGUGGGCAGCCCAGUUAGCCUCCAAAUCCAAGCAAUGAUGGAGCUCCAAAUAUACGGAAACAGUAAGCUUCGUUGUUCCUGCAGAUGCAGAUGGGAGUCCAGAGCAGGAGCCCAAGGUUGAUGCCAAGGAAGCGCCUGUCUCAGGAGCAUCAUGAUGUCUGAAUGAUUCUACAACAAGAGAUGAACUCAAUCAAAAAAAAAAUAAUUACUCAAAUUUUGUUCAGAAAAAUUCCAACGAUGGGGUUAGUGCUGCAAUCUGAAUCGAUGCACGGAACCAUAAAUAAUUUUGGGAGUAUAAGGAAACACUAUUUAAAGGAAUCUUAAAGCCACUUUUAGCCAUGAUUAUCCGUCAUAUCAUAAAGUUCUUGAAAUGGGAUAUUCACAUAAAAAUACUCAGGAAUUUCUCGAUUAUUACAGUUCUUGUUUAUUAGUCGCACUAAAAAAAUACGCCUAUUUUUGGGCCUUUUUUAAAACCCUUAAAACCCUAAAAUGGGUAUUGCAGGAUUAGAAAAUCCAUCUCAAGCUGGCCAUUUAUGAAGAAUCAGGGAGAAGGAUAUUCUAGGAACUUUUCAUUGAAGAUUGGACUGCAAAAAAUCUCCAUUUUUGGUAAUCAAAAAAAGGACCAGAGUAAGUAAAAUCAUGAUUAAGGUCUAAAUAAAAAAACAUGCCCAUAGCCAGAGGCUUUUUUUCUCUCCCAGAAGACCAGGUAGAAGAAGAAGUAUUUUUUCUCUACAAGUGAGAAUAAUUUGGGCAGCUGAAAUUUUCCCAGUCCAACACAAGAACAAUCCAACGGCUGAUUCACUACAACACAUGGUAGGCAUUUAGUAUUAAUGGCCAUUAUAAGACCGAUUGGAAACUCACAUAAACAGCAGUUUUUCCUCAGACCAUGAACAAAAAAGGGGAAUAAAAAUCACAGCUUUCUCAGAUGAUGCAGAAGAUCGUCGAGAGGGUUUGGCGGGAGCUAAGAAAAAGCCAGGCAUCGUCUCUG
This 1040-nucleotide long non-coding RNA is filed under the name Spirodela polyrhiza (greater duckweed). RNAcentral's name for it is "long non-coding RNA (SPOL_LNC000646)". The record is from RNAcentral. Lineage: Eukaryota; Viridiplantae; Streptophyta; Magnoliopsida; Alismatales; Araceae.